ACAUGGAUCACCCACAUCAAGCCUCGCCCACGGCUUCCCCUUCCCGCUCCAAUGCAACAAACUAACCGGGCCCGGAUGCAACGACCUACAACUAUGAACCCUAUUAUUCCCACCAAGCCCAUGCUGGUUCCACCGGUGAUCAAUCUCCGCCACAUCACCACCAAACACCAACAAAAACGGCGGUAGCGACCCCAAUUCGUAUAUCCUUUCAAUCUUCUGAACCUCCAUCCAUUUCUCAAUUCUAGUUCUGUAACCCUCUCUCCUCCACCUCACCAAAUCCAUCACCAUCACGCCCGUGUUAAAAUAACACGGCCUCUUCCCUUCAAACACACCCGACAAAUCCGGAUCAUACCAAAACCUAUCCGUAAAAUAACCCGUAAAAUUCACAUGACAAUAAACCGGAGCCCCGAUGACCAUUGACCUGGUCAACGAAGUCAACGACACCGACCAAAGCUUUAUUACAUCAUCAACAACUAUAACAUCCGAAUCCAAAUAAAUCACCCGGGUCACACUCGGGUCAAGUAUAUCACCCAAAUAAUUUCGCGCGUAAUUCAACGGGUCUUCAAGUGCUUCACGAACCGACCCGGAUAUCAAUCCCUUCACGACCCGAUCAUCGAACCGGUAAACCGUGAAACCCAGAAACGGAAAUACGGAUCUGACAAUUCGGGUCAAGUCUUCGGGUUUAGGCGAUUUCGAUUCGGAUGCGAUGAAAUGGAACUACUGAUCCUCUCAAGUAGUUGAAAUCAAGCGUCAUGGAUACGUGGAUCAUGACCCAACCCGAACAUUGAUACCCGUUUCGGUACUCCGGUGCUUCGAUGUAAUCGGUGAUCGGUGAUUCAGGAACUGUACGGAUUGCACUUGCGUAGAGGAGACACAGUAGAGAAAUUAUUAGAACAAAAGCUGGAACAGAUUGAUACCGAAGCAUAUCAUAAAAGUUUAAAAGGUUUUGUUGAGGAUGAUGAACUAUGAAGAGGGUCUGUGUAUGUAAUAUAUCAUAUGUAUAUUGAAAGUGGGAACGUGGUUGGUUUGGGAUGUGGAGGGGUGAAAUGGGAAAUGUUGGAUAGUUGAAGGCUUGGUUUGAAAAUUGGGAAUUUUAAAGUUGGUGAGGAUUCGAGUAUAUUUUUCUUAACAACCAACGAAUUUUUCAAAUGCGCUAUUGGUGAAAUUCACCACUUCGGAAUACACUUUAUCUUCGAAUCGGGGAAAACCCUUACCUAGGGCCGAAGCCCGUGAAUACUCGCUCGAAGGCACGACAGUGUGGUGAGGUAAAACCCGCUCAGUUUAAGGAUCGAACUAACGAUCUCCGCCUACUCGCUUAGUCUCCCAUCAUCACCAAGUGACACAUAAAAUAAUAGGGAGAAUAAUAGAGAGAGCAAGAAUCGAACUUAGAUCCCUUAAAAUACCAAAUCUCUCUCAAACCACUUCACCACCACCAAAUUGGCUCAUGUUAGGUUGAUUGUAUAAUUGAAGGCCUCAUGUAACCACGUGCCUUGUUGUGGAUGUGUUUAUGUUAUUCAAGGAACAAAAUAAUGUGUAGAUGACAAUAAUGAUUGGUACAUGAUGAAUGAUUGGUGUU
Molecule: long non-coding RNA, 1576 nt
Filed under: Helianthus annuus (common sunflower)
Lineage: Eukaryota; Viridiplantae; Streptophyta; Magnoliopsida; Asterales; Asteraceae
Description: hypothetical non coding rna
Source: RNAcentral